AUGAACUUCACUGAUUACCCAGAGUUGGAAAUGCCCUUGUUCUUAGUGUUUCUCAGUUGCUUCCUGGCCAUUAUUUUGAGAAAUAUGGAAUGGGUCAUUCUGACCCAAGUGAAUGUGCAUCUCUUCACCCUAUAUACUUCUUCCUAACAAAUGUCACCCUUUGGGAUACCUCAGUCAUCAUGCCUCAGAUCCUGGCCAUUCUGGCCACAGGCAAGACAACCAUUUCCUAUGGCCGCUAAUAAAAGCAAUGAGGUCCUUUUUCUUCAUUUGUGUAGGAACUUAGUGUUUCCUGGAACGUGGUGAAUGCCUACACCUGAGGACUAUCAGGAGCCACUUUCAACACCAUCUGCACAUUUGCCCGCUUCUUCUGUGAUGACAAUUAGAUCAAAUUCUGUCACAUCCUGCCCCUGCUGAAGCUCAUUUGAAAUACUUCAGGAAACAGCAAGAUAAUUAUUGUGAUCUUUGACAGCUUUUAUGAUUAUAGCUGGCACUAGGGUCAUCCUGAUCUCUUACCUGCUAAUCAUCAGGGCUUUGAGGAUGAAAUCAUCGAGUGGCAAAGCCAAUAAUUUUAUCCAUCCACUUGUGCCUCCCACCUAACUGCUAUGACCUUCCUUUGGGAUCCCCAUCUUCAGACAUGUGAAGUACCUCAGAUAAAUCACUGACAGAAGACAAGUUGGCAUCAUGACUUGCACCAUCUUUAUUCCUAUGCUAGAACUUUUGAUCCAAAGUCUAAAGAAGGAUAUACAAGUUGCCUUCAAAAAGGCCAUAGG
RNAcentral lists this long non-coding RNA (770 nucleotides) under Homo sapiens (human). RNAcentral describes it as "non-protein coding lnc-OR9I1-2:1". The record is from RNAcentral. Lineage: Eukaryota; Metazoa; Chordata; Mammalia; Primates; Hominidae.